RNAcentral lists this ribosomal RNA (520 nucleotides) under Neopromachus doreyanus. Its description in RNAcentral is "eukaryotic LSU rRNA". The record is from RNAcentral. Lineage: Eukaryota; Metazoa; Arthropoda; Insecta; Phasmatodea; Phasmatidae.
UACGUGAAACCGUUCAGGGGUAAACGGGAGAAAUCCUGAACUCGAAUGGGGUUGGAUUCAGGUCAUAUCCAUAUCGCAGUUGUCCACCUGGCCCCACCAGAUGGUCGUGGUCGCCCGCGGCGAUUCAUUUCGCUUGCGGUGUCGUUCCGCCGAUCACUCGGAGGGGUGGUGUGAUCUUUCGAUGGAGUGUCUGCAUUUCCCCCCUAGUAGAAACGUCGCGACCCGUUGGGUGCUGGUCUAAGGCCUGGGAUGGCAGACCGCGCGUUAUGUGGCUGUGACCACAGGCGCGUGGACUCCUGGUGACCCGGCCAGCUGCCCGACGGUAUGAUCAGAGGAGUCGAUCCGCUCGAUGCAAAACACUUUGGUUGUGUAGCGUCCGGCCCUGUGCCGACGCGUGUGGGGAAUGAGGUGCAAACCGGGGGUGUCCGUGCGAAGCACGGCCCCGGCCCCGCUGCGCGUUUGGUCCAGGUGUCCUCGGACUGGAUCAGUACUCCCGUCUGCGACGCCCACCUUCGGAUGG